AACGAACGCUGGCGGCAUGCCUAACACAUGCAAGUAGAACGAGACCUUCGGGUCUAGUGGCGCACGGGUGCGUAACGCGUGGGAACCUGCCCUUAGGUUCGGAAUAACUCCCCGAAAGGGGUGCUAAUACCGGAUAAUGUCUUCGGACCAAAGAUUUAUCGCCUUUGGAUGGGCCCGCGUUGGAUUAGCUAGUUGGUAGGGUAAAAGCCUACCAAGGCGACGAUCCAUAGCUGGUCUGAGAGGAUGAUCAGCCACACUGGGACUGAGACACGGCCCAGACUCCUACGGGAGGCAGCAGUGGGGAAUAUUGGACAAUGGGCGAAAGCCUGAUCCAGCAAUGCCGCGUGAGUGAUGAAGGCCUUAGGGUUGUAAAGCUCUUUUACCCGGGAUGAUAAUGACAGUACCGGGAGAAUAAGCUCCGGCUAACUCCGU
This 432-nucleotide ribosomal RNA is filed under the name uncultured bacterium. Its description in RNAcentral is "partial 16S ribosomal RNA". It matches the Rfam family "Bacterial small subunit ribosomal RNA", at positions 29 to 506 of the family's 1533-position model. The record is from RNAcentral.